Molecule: ribosomal RNA, 497 nt
Filed under: uncultured bacterium
Lineage: Bacteria
Description: partial 16S ribosomal RNA
Rfam family: Bacterial small subunit ribosomal RNA
Source: RNAcentral
GAUGAACGCUGGCGGCGUGCCUAAUACAUGCAAGUCGAGCGGACGGACGAUACGCUUGCUUCUCGGAUGUUAGCGGCGGAGGGGUGAGUAACACGUGUAUCACGUACCUAUAAGACUGGGAUAACUUCGGGAAACCGUAGCUAAUACCGUAGAAUAUUUUGCACCACAGGGUUCAAAAGUGAAAGACGGUCGUGGUGUCACGUAUAGAUGGAUCCGCGCUGCAUUAGCUAGUUGGUAAGGUAAAGGCUUACCAAGGCAACGAUGCAUAGCCGAACUGAGAGGGUGAUCGGCCACAUUGGAACUGAGACACGGUCCAGGCGACUACGAGAGGCAGCAGUAGCGUAUCUUACGCAGUGGGCGAGAGCCUGGCGGAGCAACGGCGCGUGAGUGAUGGAGGUCUUCGGAUCGUAAAACUCUGUUAUUAGGGAAAAACAUAUGUGUAAGUAACUGUGCACAUCUUGACGGUAACUGAUAAGAAAGCCACGGCUAACUACGUG